CUUGGUCAUUUAGAGGAAGUAAAAGUCGUAACAAGGUCUCCGUAGGUGAACCUGCGGAGGGAUCAUUACCGAGUGAAGGGCCUCACGGCCCGACCUCCAACCCUUUGAUUACCGUCCAUCGUUGCCUCGGGGGAUUGCCUCGCGGCGCCCCCGGAGGACCACACAACUCUGCAUCUUUGCGUCGAGUAAACGAGAAAAUAAAUUAAAACUUUUAACAACGGAUCUCUUGGUUCUGGCAUCGAUGAAGAACGCAGCGAAAUGCGAUAAGUAAUGUGAAUUGCAGAAUUCAGUGAAUCAUCGAAUCUUUGAACGCACAUUGCGCCCCUUGGUAUUCCGGGGGGCAUGCCCGUUCGAGCGUCAUUUCACCACACAAGCCUGGCUUGGUAUUGGGCCCCGGGGGUGACCCGGGCCUCAAAGUCGUCGGCCGGACCGCCCGAAUCUCAGCGUCGUGAAUCAAUUCGCUCGUGGUCGGGGGAUCGUGCCGGAAAAUCGAUGGAGACAUCACAAGGUUGACCUCGGAUCGGGUAGGGAUACCCGCUGAACUUAAGCAUAUCAAUAAGCGGAGGA
RNAcentral lists this ribosomal RNA (567 nucleotides) under uncultured Passalora. RNAcentral's name for it is "eukaryotic LSU rRNA". The stretch from base 207 to 360 matches the Rfam family "5.8S ribosomal RNA". The record is from RNAcentral. Lineage: Eukaryota; Fungi; Ascomycota; Dothideomycetes; Mycosphaerellales; Mycosphaerellaceae.